UUCUUGUUGUGUUGUUGGUGGUAGGUUUUUUCCCCUCUUCAUUUCUCCCCAUACGUCCUCCUUUCUAUGCAUUUUUGGGGUUGUUCUUUUACUAUGAAAACUAAUGCCAGCAUUUUGAGCAACAUGGAACCAGCCAUAUUUUGAAAUCCAGGGACAAUCUUCUUGAAUAGAAUUUACCUGCUGCUGAGUUAGCUGUCUUCCUUGCCACCCAGUUAUCACCUGAGAAAGGAGAAAUGCUGGACAUGAGAAGUAAUUAUGUCAGUAAUAAUUAGGCUAGAGCAAGCCAACCAAAAAGGGAAUGAAACCAAGUAUGGAAUCAAAGGUACCACCAUCAAAUGUCUUCUGAUAUUAUUUUAGGUCUUUUCAAAUUCUAUUAGUUAGCAAAAUCCUUAUAAAGCCUUUGCCCUUAAAAUGACGAUUCUUUUUUGUAAAUGUUAAUUCACCGGCCUGGAGUAGGUUUAGGAUUUUGGUAGGGGCAAGAAGGACAGUGGUGGAGUCGUCUGUUUCUAGCCUGUUGGUCCAGUGAUGAAACUGAUCUUAAGAAAAUGCUUCCCUCCGGGAGUUUGUCUGAGCUAAACUGCUGAGCUAAACUGCUGAUGAGGGAAUUUAUCCAGUAACCUGAGGGCAGCCAUCAUCAUAGCCCCAGACCUUCAUAGGGAAGGGAAUGAAUAGAAUUUUCCUUAGCACACCAGCCUUAAGAGAUUGUAAGCCCCUCUUUUGUAAAGCUUAAAAACGUUAGACUUUGAACAGAGUGCUUACUGUGGGAAAGGGCUCAGAGCAGUUCACAUUACCAAAGAUUGAUUAAAAAAAGCA
This 813-nucleotide long non-coding RNA is filed under the name Homo sapiens (human). Its description in RNAcentral is "HSALNT0195029". The record is from RNAcentral. Lineage: Eukaryota; Metazoa; Chordata; Mammalia; Primates; Hominidae.